This is a long non-coding RNA of Neofelis nebulosa (Clouded leopard), 1001 nucleotides long. RefSeq lists it as uncharacterized. The record is from RefSeq and is a predicted model, not a curated record. Lineage: Eukaryota; Metazoa; Chordata; Mammalia; Carnivora; Felidae. The transcript is spliced from 3 exons.
UCCCAAGGCACGGGCAGCACAUCUCGGUGUGGCGACGGGCCUGCGAGUUACAGACGGUUCAGCAGGAGCACAGAGGGCAGGGCUGAGGGCCUCACAAAGGGGGAGAGGUCUGCCGCAGAUGAAGCAGAUACCACAUGGGGCCCGAUCAUACGGGGUAAAAGAAUACGGCUUUUAUCUCGAUGUCAGUGGGUGAGCCACCGGAGAUUUGGGGCCAUGCUUCUCUGACUGGUGUAAACAUCCAUUUGCCGGCAAAACAAGCCCUUGCUGAUCGACUGAGGGGAGACAGAACUGAGUUACAAUCCGGCAGCUUCUGUUUAAGGCCUUGUGACUCACCCCGUGGCGGUGCGGAGAUUGCUAAGGCCUGUGCCCUCCUGUAAACACCUGUCACUUCCCCGCUCGGCAGAAACACCCGGGGCGGAUGAGGUCACGCGCGUGGAAUGUACAGGAGCUUCUCGGAGAAACGAACCAGAUACGUUCGGGACGUUACUAUCGUCACCCCAGCCGUCUGGGAGUCCGCUUUCUGGCAAACCCAAGGGCCCAGAAGCCAGAAGCUACAAAAUAAGGAAAAAUAAAGGAAGGUGCCCGGCCCCAGAGAAAGCAGGAAGUAGACACGGAAAUGGCUGUAAGGUCAGAGAUAACGCGAAGCAGGAUACGCCCGGUCGUGAGGGAAGCUUCGUGGCCCCUGGAGGGAAUGACGGCAGUGGCCGGCCGCCCCACUGUGCACAGACCUCCCAGAAAAUCAAAGGCAAGUUCUCCCUGGUUUUGUGAAGCGGGACCCUUCUGCCUGCUGACUCGGGCAAGGAUGUGCUUAGCUGAGUCGUCCCGUCUCUCCUGGCAUCAGGGCUCCGUGCUUUGAAUGCAAGAGGUGGUCGGAGAAAAUGAUUCUCCUUCCCACGGCUUAAUACAAGGAGGCGGGCGAGGCGCCUCGCGUGUGGGAGGAGUUUCUCACCACGUCUGGGACCCUGCGACUGAUGCCACCACAUACCUUCGGACGACCACAG